RNAcentral lists this ribosomal RNA (480 nucleotides) under uncultured Saprospiraceae bacterium. Its description in RNAcentral is "bacterial SSU rRNA". It matches the Rfam family "Bacterial small subunit ribosomal RNA", at positions 28 to 505 of the family's 1533-position model. The record is from RNAcentral. Lineage: Bacteria; Pseudomonadati; Bacteroidota; Saprospiria; Saprospirales; Saprospiraceae.
GAUGAACGCUAGCGGGAGGCUUAAUACAUGCAAGUCGAGGGGUAACAUGAGAGCUUGCUCUUGAUGACGACCGGCGCACGGGUGAGUAACGCGUACACGACCUACCUUUAAGUGAGGGACAGCCUUGGGAAACUGAGAUUAAUACCUCAUGUGAUUGUUUUAUCUAAAAAGGACAAUUAAAGCUCCGGCGCUUAAAGAUGGGUGUGCGUACUAUUAGGUAGUUGGUAGGGUAACGGCCUACCAAGCCGACGAUAGUUAGGGGGCGUGAGAGCGUGACCCCCCACACGGGUACUGAGACACGGACCCGACUCCUACGGGAGGCAGCAGUAAGGAAUAUUGGACAAUGGGCGCAAGCCUGAUCCAGCCAUCCCGCGUGUAGGAUGACUGCCCUAUGGGUUGUAAACUACUUUUGUAAGGGAAGAAACGCCUGGUUUUAACUGGGCCUGACGGUACCUUAAGAAUAAGCACCGGCUAACUCCG